GGUUAUGAUGAAGCAAAUCUUUUAUUCCAUGCUAAUCAUGAUGGUUGGCUAUUGCAGCCUGCCCUGAUU
Molecule: small nucleolar RNA, 69 nt
Filed under: Blastobotrys adeninivorans
Lineage: Eukaryota; Fungi; Ascomycota; Dipodascomycetes; Dipodascales; Trichomonascaceae
Description: snR53
Source: RNAcentral